This 465-nucleotide ribosomal RNA is filed under the name Vreelandella stevensii. Its description in RNAcentral is "partial 16S ribosomal RNA". It matches the Rfam family "Bacterial small subunit ribosomal RNA", at positions 338 to 795 of the family's 1533-position model. Lineage: Bacteria; Pseudomonadati; Pseudomonadota; Gammaproteobacteria; Oceanospirillales; Halomonadaceae. The record is from RNAcentral.
CCUACGGGAGGCAGCAGUGGGGAAUAUUGGACAAUGGGGGGAACCCUGAUCCAGCCAUGCCGCGUGUGUGAAGAAGGCCCUCGGGUUGUAAAGCACUUUCAGUGAGGAAGAACGCCUGGUGGUUAAUACCCAUCAGGAAAGACAUCACUCACAGAAGAAGCACCGGCUAACUCCGUGCCAGCAGCCGCGGUAAUACGGAGGGUGCGAGCGUUAAUCGGAAUUACUGGGCGUAAAGCGCGCGUAGGUGGCUUGAUAAGCCGGUUGUGAAAGCCCGGGGCUCAACCUGGGAACGGCAUCCGGAACUGUCAAGCUAGAGUGCAGGAGAGGAAGGUAGAAUUCCCGGUGUAGCGGUGAAAUGCGUAGAGAUCGGGAGGAAUACCAGUGGCGAAGGCGGCCUUCUGGACUGACACUGACACUGAGGUGCGAAAGCGUGGGUAGCAAACAGGAUUAGAUACCCUAGUAGUC